RNAcentral lists this ribosomal RNA (420 nucleotides) under uncultured bacterium. RNAcentral describes it as "bacterial SSU rRNA". It matches the Rfam family "Bacterial small subunit ribosomal RNA", at positions 32 to 430 of the family's 1533-position model. The record is from RNAcentral.
AAUCAACGCUGGCGGCGUGCCUCAGACAUGCAAGUCGAACGCGAAAGGUUCCUUCGGGAGCCGAGUAGAGUGGCGCUCGGGUGAGUAACACGUAGGUAAUUUGCCUUUGGGUGGGGAAUAACAAUCGGAAACGGUUGCUAAUACCGCAUAAUGCAGCGGCUCGACAUCGAGACAGUUGUUAAAGCGGGGGAUCCUUCGGGACCUCGCGCCUAAAGAGAAGCCUGCGGCGGAUUAGCAGUUGGUGAGGUAAUGGCUCACCAAGGCGACGAUCCGUAACCGGCCUGAGAGGGCGGACGGUCACACUGACACUUAAAUACGGGUCAGACUCCUACGGGAGGCAGCAGUCGGGAAUUUUGGGCAAUGGGCGAAAGCCUGACCCAGCAACGCCGCGUGAAGGAUGAAAUCCCUCGGGAUGUAAAC